AUGCACAUCUGGGUCCUAAAUCUUUCUAAGUUGUUCACCCGAGGUCCUAAUUUCGACUGUCCGCCGCUGACCAGCUCGCGUGGCGCUUUGACCGCUGCCACGUCGACUCCAGGGCCCACGCGGGAUAACGACCAGCCGUGCAUUUUUUCAAAAGAGCCCCCCAACCCUAAUCUCUCCACAGCCGUAGUCCUUUCCUCUCCUCUUCCCCACCUCUCUCUGCUCUGGCGAAACAGGGGAGAUCGACGGCGGCGGUCCGGUGAGAAGAGGCAGGCGGCCAUCGUAGGCGCUUGUCCGGCGGCGGCGCCGCUAGGAUGGCGCCCGUGCAUCGGCGACCUGGAGAUCCUCCUCCACGAUACGGUCAGUGUGUUGCCCAUAACCCUAACCCUCGAUCCUCUUUUUCCGUGGAUUUCGAUUUAG
RNAcentral lists this ribosomal RNA (417 nucleotides) under Triticum aestivum (bread wheat). RNAcentral describes it as "partial small subunit ribosomal RNA". The record is from RNAcentral. Lineage: Eukaryota; Viridiplantae; Streptophyta; Magnoliopsida; Poales; Poaceae.